RNAcentral lists this transfer RNA (68 nucleotides) under Porrostoma sp. UPOL A00041. RNAcentral's name for it is "tRNA-Phe". The record is from RNAcentral. RNAcentral also lists the same sequence under 1 other name. Lineage: Eukaryota; Metazoa; Arthropoda; Insecta; Coleoptera; Lycidae.
AUAUUUUAAAGUGCACCCACUUUCAUAAUAUCUUCAAUAUUAUACUUUAAUUAUAAGCUAUCAAAAUA